Molecule: long non-coding RNA, 1082 nt
Organism: Bombina bombina (fire-bellied toad)
Lineage: Eukaryota; Metazoa; Chordata; Amphibia; Anura; Bombinatoridae
Exons: 3
Source: RefSeq, a predicted model, not a curated record
AUAUAAAUAUAUAUAUGUAUGUAUGUGUGUGAUGUGACUGCUUAGUGUUCAGCUUGCUGAAAGUUUCUCAAGGACACACCUGUUCAUGGACAGGAAUAAAGCAGGAAUAGGUAAAGUGCAGAGAUACAAAUUACUUUAGAAACAAACAUAUACAUUCAGCUCUUAUGAACCAAUCACGCUCUUAGCCAACUCAAAGCAUCCACCAUUAUCAAUUUUUGGGUUGUAUUAGCUGAAGAGGCCUGUCAAAAUACGGUAUAUAAGAAGGAAGAGAGUAGAGAGAGGAGAGAAGAAAGGAAAGAAAGAAAGGAGACAAGUAGACAACCUCUUACUGGGCCCAGAGAAAGUAUGUUUCAGGCUCCACACGAAAAACACUCAGGAAAUGGAAUGAAACAGCAGCAAAGGCACUGCAAACGCUCAUCUAUGGACAUAAAAGAAAUAGGAAGUUUGCCUUCAACUACGAUACUCAUCCAUCAGCCUUCAAAAUGGUGACAACAAGAAACCCACAGACCUGCUCCAGACCGGAGAGAAGUGUACUGCCAGCAGCGACAACAAGAAAUGCACAGACCAGCUCCAUAUAAUAGAGUAGUGUACUAUCAGUAGUGACAACAAGAAACCAGACCAGAGAGAAGUCUACUGCCAGCAACAAGUAAUAAGCUACUCCAAAAAGAUGACUGCAAAGCCAAAAGUAAGAGAGUGUUUCAAAAGGAUGCUGCCUGCAAAUCAAAGGCCUCACCAUCUGCACAAGAGGGAAGCAUAUUAGAUGGGAAAAGACUUAGAAGAAAAGCCCAGACCAACUGUAGGUGAGAGAAGUUUCCAAUAUAAUUGUUGCAUCAACAAGAGCCUCUGUGAAACUACGGAAGUCAUUAAGGAGAAAAGCUUUCUGAAAAGUAAAAAGACAUUCCACUUUAUGCUUUAUUAAUUGGGAAAAUAAGGGUUACAGAAGUUUAUUUGUUGCUGCCAACCCCAACAGUGAGAAAGAGCCUCUGUGACAUGGGUGAUUACAGACAUCAUCAAGAAGGAAAGACUUGCAAAAAGAAAAGGAAGAAAAGAACAUUACCAUUUUCCAGGUGCCAUGGUCAAUG